AUACAUCUAACUGUUUUUUGAACAGUCUGAACUUGGUAUGUUGGGAGCUAACAUCAAAGAACUAUUUUCCCCCAUUCACAUGAGGACUGUGUCAAAUCUGCCUCCUAUCACUUAAGGAGGUUUUGGGAAAAUCAUUCACUUUCGUUUCUAUCACUUCCAGUAACUUAACAGUACGGCUCAGAUGUAAAACUCCCCUUUUACUUGUUCCUGUCACUUCAGCCCAAGCUUGUCUCAUGAUCUAAAAAUCUGUAAUAGGGAAGAGGGUGUGGUCUGAUCUUUCCCCUUCUAUUUUACCUCAUCUAGUUCCAGAUUCUCAAAUCAUAUAGGGCCAGGAGGAGAGGACCAAAUUAUGUCUUAGUUACCUGGCUGCUGGUGGUUGUCUCUGUUUUUUGUAGAGCACAGGUGUAACGGCUUUCAGGGUGGGGGUGGGGAACUCUCCACUGAGUAGUGUGCUGAUGUGGGAGAUCUCUGGCUUGGCCUCUUCCGGCCCUCCUCCCACUCAGCUCCCACCAAUGAUGUAUCAAUAAAACCUCUUGCUGCUGGAGAUCUGCUUACCUGGUGGCCAGGGUGGCAAGACAAGUGAAGCCUGACUAUGCCUGCAGCAUCCACUGUGGAAACUACUACAUCUUUGCCAUGCCAAACACUUCUGCUUAAGCAUGCAGGUGAGAAGGGAAGAUACAUGUAAUCUGCAUGUCUGCCACCAUUCCUUGUUACCCUUUUUCAUAUCCCAUGAGCACAGCACUCCAGCGGACCUACCCAAAAUAUGUGGGAGUUCAGUGAAACUCAAACAGCAUGCUUCUGGUCAGCCUAUACAGUCUCUGUCCUGGUGAGGAGCAUGAUCACCAACAGGCAAGAUCUUCUGGCCUUGAAGUUUCGCUUGAGUUAAAAGAGCUCAUCUCAGGACUUUCUGAAUUUUCAGCCCAUAUGACAUGGAAGAAGAGUUAGAAGGGGAAUCUGACUGCUUGGAUCAGGGACUGUCUGGCUGGUGGAACUUGAAUGUAUACAACACUCUUCAUUUGCAUGUUUUGACAUUUUAAAAAAUGUUUUCACUUUCCUUAUCUACUUUGACUCUAAUAACAUCCUGAAAGGUAAGUAGAAUUAUUCUCAUAAUAUGAUGAAGAACCC
RNAcentral lists this long non-coding RNA (1125 nucleotides) under Homo sapiens (human). RNAcentral's name for it is "long non-coding RNA NONHSAT007069.2". Lineage: Eukaryota; Metazoa; Chordata; Mammalia; Primates; Hominidae. The record is from RNAcentral.